ACAAGUAUGAAGAGAAUGUCGGGAGAGGAAGUGGUGGCUAUGAGUCAGCAUGAGUCAUCUCGUUCCAAUGAGAAUGAAGGCUGAGGUGUGCGCCUUUUUUUUUUUUCCUUCUUAGUCGUGUGUACAUCAUUGGGAAUGGAGGGAAAUAAAUGACUGGAUGGUCGCUGCUUUUUAAGUUUCAAAUUGACAUUCCAGACAAGCGGUGCCUGAGCCCGUGCCUGUCUUCAGAUCUUCACAGCACAGUUCCUGGGAAGGUGGAGCCACCAGCCUCUCCCUGAAUAACUGGGAGAUGAAACAGGAAGCUCUAUGACACACUUGAUCGAAUAUGACAGACACUGAAAAUCACGACUCAUCCCCCUCCAGCACCUCUACCUGUUGCCCGCCGAUCACAGCCGGAAUGCAGCUGAAAGAUUCCCUGGGGCCUGGUUCCAACUGCCCACUGUGGACUCUGAGGCCUCUGCAUUUGCGGGUGGUCUGCCUGUGAUAUUUUGGUCAUGGGCUGGUCUGGUCGGUUUCCCAUUUGUCUGGCCAGUCUCUGUGUGUCUUAAUCCCUUGUCCUUCAUUAAAAGCAAAACUAAAGAAAACAGAA
RNAcentral lists this long non-coding RNA (589 nucleotides) under Homo sapiens (human). Its description in RNAcentral is "non-protein coding MIR4435-2HG:45". The record is from RNAcentral. Lineage: Eukaryota; Metazoa; Chordata; Mammalia; Primates; Hominidae.